CAGGGGGUGCAAACGUUGCUCGGAAUUAUUGGGCGUAAAGCGCGCGUAGGCGGCUACUUAAGUCGGAAGUGAAAGCCCCUGGCUCAACUGGGGAAGUGCACCCGAAACUGAGUGGCUUGAGUGCGAAAGAGGGUCGCGGAAUUCCCGGUGUAGAGGUGAAAUUCGUAGAUAUCGGGAGGAACACCGGUGGCGAAGGCGGCGACCUGGGUCGACACUGACGCCUGAGGCGCGAAAGCGUGGGGAGCAAACAGGAUUAGAUACCCUGGUAGUCCACGCCGUAAACGAUGGGUGCUAGAUGUUUCUGGUAUUGACCCCGGAGGCGUCGUAGCUAACGCGUUAAGCACCCCGCCUGGGAAGUACGGCCGCAAGGCUA
RNAcentral lists this ribosomal RNA (373 nucleotides) under uncultured organism. RNAcentral describes it as "bacterial SSU rRNA". It matches the Rfam family "Bacterial small subunit ribosomal RNA", at positions 526 to 896 of the family's 1533-position model. The record is from RNAcentral.